Molecule: ribosomal RNA, 506 nt
Filed under: uncultured bacterium
Lineage: Bacteria
Description: partial 16S ribosomal RNA
Rfam family: Bacterial small subunit ribosomal RNA
Source: RNAcentral
AGUGAACGCUGGCGGUAGGCCUAACACACGCAAGUCGAACGGCAGCACAGGAGAGCUUGCUCUCUGGGUGGCGAGUGGCGGACGGGUGAGGAAUACAUCGGAAUCUCCUUUUUCGUGGGGGAUAACGUAGGGAAACUUACGCUAAUACCGCAUACGACCUACGGGUGAAAGCAGGGGGCCUUCGGGCCUUGCGCGAUUGAAUGAGCCGAUGUCGGAUUAGCCGGUUGGCGGGGUAAAGGCCCACCAAGGCGACGAUCCGUAGCUGGUUUGAGAGGAUGAUCAGCCGCACUGGAACUGAGACACGGUCCAGACUCCUACGGGAGGCAGCAGUGGGGAAUAUUGGACAAUGGGCGCAAGCCUGAUCCAGCCAUACCGCGUGGGUGAAGAAGGCCUUCGGGUUGUAAAGUCCUUUUGUUGGGAAAGAAAUCCAGCUGGCUAAUACCCGGUUGGGAUGACGGUACCCAAAGAAUAAGCACCGGCUAACUUCGUGCCAGCAGCCGCCGCGG